Molecule: ribosomal RNA, 965 nt
Filed under: Bondarzewia sp.
Lineage: Eukaryota; Fungi; Basidiomycota; Agaricomycetes; Russulales; Bondarzewiaceae
Description: partial large subunit ribosomal RNA
Rfam family: Eukaryotic large subunit ribosomal RNA
Source: RNAcentral
ACUUAAGCAUAUCAAUAAGCGGAGGAAAAGAAACUAACAAGGAUUCCCCUAGUAACUGCGAGUGAAGCGGGAAAAGCUCAAAUUUAAAAUCUGGCGGUCUGUGGCCGUCCGAGUUGUAGUCUGGAGAAGCGUCUUCCGCGUCGGACCGUGUACAAGUUUCCUGGAACGGAGCGUCAUAGAGGGUGAGAAUCCCGUCUUUGACACGGACAGCCGAUGCUUUGUGAUGCGCUCUCGAAGAGUCGAGUUGUUUGGGAAUGCAGCUCAAAAUGGGUGGUGAAUUCCAUCUAAAGCUAAAUAUUGGCGAGAGACCGAUAGCGAACAAGUACCGUGAGGGAAAGAUGAAAAGCACUUUGGAAAGAGAGUUAAACAGUACGUGAAAUUGUUGAAAGGGAAACGCUCGAAGUCAGUCGCGUCCGCCGGGACUCAGCCUCGCAAUCCGUUGCUUGGUGUACUUUCUGGUGGACGGGCCAGCAUCAAUUUUGGUUGCCGGACAAAGGUCGGAGAAAUGUGGCACCUUCGGGUGUGUUAUAGUCUCCGGUCACACGCGGCGGUCGGGAUUGAGGAACUCAGCACGCCUUUACGGUCGGGGCUUUGCCCACGUUCGUGCUUAGGAUGCUGGCGUAAUGGCUUUGAACGACCCGUCUUGAAACACGGACCAAGGAGUCUAACAUGCCCGCGAGUGUUCGGGUGGAAAACCCGUGCGCGUAAUGAAAGUGAAAGUUGGGACCUCUGUCGUGGAGGGCACCGACGCCCGGACCAGAACUUCUGUGACGGAUCUGCGGUAGAGCGUGCAUGUUGGGACCCGAAAGAUGGUGAACUAUGCCUGAAUAGGGUGAAGCCAGAGGAAACUCUGGUGGAGGCUCGUAGCGAUUCUGACGUGCAAAUCGAUCGUCAAAUUUGGGUAUAGGGGCGAAAGACUAUCGAACCAUCUACUACCUGAUUCCUGCCGAGUUUCCCCGGGGAAA